Molecule: ribosomal RNA, 638 nt
Filed under: uncultured bacterium
Lineage: Bacteria
Description: bacterial SSU rRNA
Rfam family: Bacterial small subunit ribosomal RNA
Source: RNAcentral
CCGGCGACCGGCGCACGGGUGAGUAACGCGUAUCCAACCUUCCGUACACUCAGGGAUAGCCUUUCGAAAGAAAGAUUAAUACCUGAUGGUAUGAUGAGAUUGCAUGAUAGCAUCAUUAAAGAUUUAUCGGUGUACGAUGGGGAUGCGUUCCAUUAGGUAGUAGGCGGGGUAACGGCCCACCUAGCCAACGAUGGAUAGGGGUUCUGAGAGGAAGGUCCCCCACAUUGGAACUGAGACACGGUCCAAACUCCUACGGGAGGCAGCAGUGAGGAAUAUUGGUCAAUGGGCGAGAGCCUGAACCAGCCAAGUAGCGUGAAGGAUGACUGCCCUAUGGGUUGUAAACUUCUUUUAUAAAGGAAUAGAGUCGGGUAUGCAUACCCGUUUGCAUGUACUUUAUGAAUAAGGAUCGGCUAACUCCGUGCCAGCAGCCGCGGUAAUACGGAGGAUCCGAGCGUUAUCCGGAUUUAUUGGGUUUAAAGGGAGCGUAGAUGGAUGUUUAAGUCAGUUGUGAAAGUUUGCGGCUCAACCGUAAAAUUGCAGUUGAUACUGGAUAUCUUGAGUGCAGUUGAGGCAGGCGGAAUUCGUGGUGUAGCGGUGAAAUGCUUAGAUAUCACGAAGAACUCCGAUUGCGAAGGCAG